This 1219-nucleotide ribosomal RNA is filed under the name metagenome. RNAcentral's name for it is "bacterial SSU rRNA". It matches the Rfam family "Bacterial small subunit ribosomal RNA", at positions 49 to 1268 of the family's 1533-position model. The record is from RNAcentral.
UAACACAUGCAAGUCGAGGGGUAACGAUGGUGCUUGCACCAGGCGACGACCGGCGCACGGGUGAGUAACGCGUAUGCAACCUACCUUUAACUGGGAGAUAGCCCGAAGAAAUUCGGAUUAAUACCCCAUAAUAUUUUAGAAUCGCAUGGUUCUAGAAUUAAAGCUCCGGCGGUUAAAGAUGGGCAUGCGUGACAUUAGUUUGUUGGUGGGGUAACGGCUCACCAAGACUACGAUGUCUAGGGGGUCUGAGAGGAUGAUCCCCCACACUGGUACUGAGACACGGACCAGACUCCUACGGGAGGCAGCAGUGAGGAAUAUUGGUCAAUGGGCGCAAGCCUGAACCAGCCAUCCCACGUGCAGGAUGACAGCCCUACGGGUUGUAAACUGCUUUUGUACAGGAAGAAAUCUCUUUUCGUGAAAAGAGUUGACGGUACUGUACGAAUAAGCAUCGGCUAACUCCGUGCCAGCAGCCGCGGUAAUACGGAGGAUGCAAGCGUUAUCCGGAUUUAUUGGGUUUAAAGGGUGCGUAGGCGGGCUAGUAAGUCAGUGGUGAAAUCCUGCAGCUUAACUGUAGAACUGCCAUUGAUACUGUUAGUCUUGAAUACAGUUGAGGUAAGCGGAAUGUGUAAUGUAGCGGUGAAAAUCUUAGAUAUUACACAGAACACCGAUUGCGUAGGCAGCUUGCUAAACUGUGAUUGACGCUGAGGCACGAAAGCGUGGGGAGCGAACAGGAUUAGAUACCCUGGUAGUCCACGCUGUAAACGAUGAUUACUCGAUGUGUGCAAUACACCGUACGCGUCCAAGCGAAAGCGUUAAGUAAUCCACCUGGGGAGUACGAUCGCAAGAUUGAAACUCAAAGGAAUUGACGGGGGCCCGCACAUCGGAGGAACAUGUGGUUUAAUUCGAUGAUACGCGAGGAACCUUACCUGGGCUUAAAUGCAGAACGACGAUUCGGGAAACCGAUUCUCUCUUCGGAGCGGACUGCAAGGUGCUGCAUGGCUGUCGUCAGCUCGUGCCGCGAGGUGUCGGGUUAAGUCCCAUAACGAGCGCAACCCCUAUCAUUAGUUGCCAGCGGAUAAUGCCGGGGACUCUAAUGAAACUGCCACCGUAAGGUGAGAGGAAGGUGGGGAUGACGUCAAGUCAGCACGGCCCUUACGUCCAGGGCUACACACGUGUUACAAUGGUCGAUACAAAGAGCAGCUACUUGGUGACAAGAUGC